CCUUGGCUCACCGGGGUGCCCAACGGGCUGAGAUCACACCCGUCGAACCUGAUCCGGUUAGCACCGGCGAAGGGAGGAGCAGACGCUCGAGA
RNAcentral lists this non-coding RNA (92 nucleotides) under Actinomycetota bacterium. Its description in RNAcentral is "Actinobacteria bacterium TPP sequence". It matches the Rfam family "TPP riboswitch aptamer (THI element)". Rfam says of the family: Vitamin B(1) in its active form thiamin pyrophosphate (TPP) is an essential coenzyme that is synthesised by coupling of pyrimidine and thiazole moieties in bacteria. The previously detected thiamin-regulatory element, thi box was extended, resulting in a new, highly conserved RNA secondary structure, the THI element, which is widely distributed in eubacteria and also occurs in some archaea. The record is from RNAcentral. Lineage: Bacteria; Bacillati; Actinomycetota.